Small nuclear RNA from Erinaceus europaeus (western European hedgehog), 168 nucleotides. Its record names the gene U1. It matches the Rfam family "U1 spliceosomal RNA". From Rfam's summary of the family: U1 is a small nuclear RNA (snRNA) component of the spliceosome (involved in pre-mRNA splicing). Its 5' end forms complementary base pairs with the 5' splice junction, thus defining the 5' donor site of an intron. Lineage: Eukaryota; Metazoa; Chordata; Mammalia; Eulipotyphla; Erinaceidae. The record is from Ensembl.
AUACUUACCUGGCAGGGGAGAUACCAUGAUCAUGAAGGUGGUUUUCUCAGGAUGAGGCUUAUCGAUUGCACUCCGGAUGUGCUGACCCCUGCGAUUUCCCCAAAUGUGGGAAACUCACUCAACUGCAUGAUUUAUGGUAGUGGGGGACUGUGUUCGUGCUCUCUCCUA